GGAUACCCCCGGUAGUCCUGGCCCGUAAACGAUGGGGUACUAGGUGUAGGAGGUAUCGACCCCUUCUGUGCCGGAGUUAACGCAAUAAGUACCCCGCCUGGGGAGUACGACCGCAAGGUUGAAACUCAAAGGAAUUGACGGGGGCCCGCACAAGCGGUGGAGUAUGUGGUUUAAUUCGACGCAACGCGAAGAACCUUACCAGGUCUCGACAUUGAUGGACAGAACUAGAGAUAGUUCCUCUUCUUCGGAAGCCAGAAAACAGGUGGUGCACGGUUGUCGUCAGCUCGUGUCGUGAGAUGUUGGGUUAAGUCCCGCAACGAGCGCAACCCCUAUCUUAUGUUGCCAGCACUUUGGGUGGGAACUCAUGAGAGACUGCCGCAGACAAUGCGGAGGAAGGCGGGGAUGACGUCAAAUCAUCAUGCCCCUUAUGACCUGGGCUACACACGUACUACAAUGGGAGUUAAUAGACGGAAGCAAUACCGCGAGGUGGAGCAAACCCGAGAAACACUCUCUCAGUUCGGAUCGUAGGCUGCAACUCGCCUACGUGAAGUCGGAAUCGCUAGUAAUCGCAGGUCAGCAUACUGCGGUGAAUACGUUCCCGGGCCUUGUACACACCGCCCGUCAGCACUCACCGCCCGUCUGCACUCACCGCCCGU
Molecule: ribosomal RNA, 656 nt
Filed under: uncultured organism
Description: SSU rRNA
Rfam family: Bacterial small subunit ribosomal RNA
Source: RNAcentral